UGCAAGUCGAGCGGCAGCGGAUCCUUCGGGAUGCCGGCGAGCGGCGGACGGGUGAGGAAUGCAUCGGAAUCUGCCUCUUUGUGGGGGAUAACGUAGGGAAACUUACGCUAAUACCGCAUACGUCCUACGGGAGAAAGUGGGGGACCUUCGGGCCUCACGCAGAGAGAUGAGCCGAUGCCGGAUUAGCUAGUUGGCGGGGUAAAGGCCCACCAAGGCGACGAUCCGUAGCUGGUCUGAGAGGAUGAUCAGCCACACUGGGACUGAGACACGGCCCAGACUCCUACGGGAGGCAGCAGUGGGGAAUAUUGGACAAUGGGCGCAAGCCUGAUCCAGCCAUGCCGCGUGAGUGAAGAAGGCCUUCGGGUUGUAAAGCUCUUUUGUCCGGAAAGAAAUCCUGUCGGCUAAUACCCGGCGGGGAUGACGGUACCGGAAGAAUAAGCACCGGCUAACUUCGUGCCAGCAGCCGCGGUAAUACGAAGGGUGCAAGCGUUACUCGGAAUUACUGGGCGUAAAGCGUGCGUAGGUGGUUCGUUAAGUCUGAUGUGAAAGCCCUGGGCUCAACCUGGGAACUGCAUUGGAUACUGGCGAUCUGGAGUGCGGUAGAGGGUAGCGGAAUUCCCGGUGUAGCAGUGAAAUGCGUAGAUAUCGGGU
This 651-nucleotide ribosomal RNA is filed under the name uncultured earthworm intestine bacterium. RNAcentral's name for it is "bacterial SSU rRNA". It matches the Rfam family "Bacterial small subunit ribosomal RNA", at positions 56 to 702 of the family's 1533-position model. The record is from RNAcentral.